GCCCUUGUAGCUCAGCUGGUAGAGCACCUGAUUUGUAAUCAGGUGGCCGGGAGUUCGAGACUCUCCGGGGGCACCA
Molecule: transfer RNA, 76 nt
Filed under: Sulfitobacter sp. R18_1
Lineage: Bacteria; Pseudomonadati; Pseudomonadota; Alphaproteobacteria; Rhodobacterales; Roseobacteraceae
Description: tRNA-Thr
Rfam family: tRNA
About the family: Transfer RNA (tRNA) molecules are approximately 80 nucleotides in length. Their secondary structure includes four short double-helical elements and three loops (D, anti-codon, and T loops).
Source: RNAcentral